This 3352-nucleotide long non-coding RNA is filed under the name Homo sapiens (human). RNAcentral's name for it is "HSALNT0044670". The record is from RNAcentral. Lineage: Eukaryota; Metazoa; Chordata; Mammalia; Primates; Hominidae.
GUGCUGGGAAGGGACGAGCAUGGUCCCUUUAAAUGAUACCGAACGGGGGACAGGGAAGUGCUGGGUAGAGCAAGGCCGGUUCCUGGCUAGGGCUUCACCCUCUGGCUUGUGCCCACGAACCUAGGUGAGGACAGGCACUCCUGCCUUUGGGCCCAAAUGUUGCAUUUUCCAAAACCACCCUGGCCCACCACACCCCCAUCCUGGGCGGAUAAAAACUGAGACCCUAGCAGGCAGAUAGAUACACAAGCGUCUGGACGUCCAGAGGAGGGGAUCAGCGGAAGAAGACACAAGCAGCCGGACAUCGAGAGGAUGUCGAGGGGAGCAUGCCAGUGGAAGAGCACAUGACAGACACUGGCAGGACAGCAGGCCAUUGACUGGAGGAACGAUGUGGAGUUUAGCGAGAUCAGGAGGAGGAGAGCACGGGCCGCUAAGCAGAGGGACCCCUGGUGCAUCUCCCAUCUGGCUCCCCCAUCUGCUGAGAACUACUUCUACUCAGUAAAACCUCGGACUCAUUCUCCAAGCCCUCGCGUGAUCUGGUUCUUCCGGUACACCACGGCAGGAAACCCUGGGAUACAGAAAUCCCUCCGUCCUUGUGGAUUUUAGAAUGCCAAGCUGACAUUUUGAGUUUUUAUGAGAAACCAGAAAAUUUGGUGUGAAGACCCUAAGUGGUGUGUCUGACUUACAGCAGGCCCACAGUACCUGUUAUUGAGUGAGAUAAGCAAAUGGUAUUUCAGGACCAAAACAUCUGUUUCCUGAAGAGUUGCUCCUUUAAUUGUGUAUCUACCUACCUGUCUAUGUAACUCUUGGCAAAUACAUUGGAGACUUCUCAACUUUCUGCUUCUGAUGAUCUCAACUUGUGGUAUGGCAAAAGGAGAGCAAAAUGUUCACCCAGGGGUCUGAGUUUGGUUCAAGAGAGGAACUACAGCUGUUGGUGACUACAACCAUCUGCCCAGAUGACAUCGUGAUCAACUCCUCUGAAUCACUCUAAAGGAACGAGAAGUCCUGGCAGCUGAGUCAUGAUCCCCCAGGAGCCAUUAAGAAGUUAAUCUUCAGUCACUUCCAUCCAAACAGAAGAAAACCCAUGAAGGAUGAGAACUAUGGGUCCUGAGAAUGACAGGUAUUGAAGACAGGAUUUAUCUUCUCUACUUCUUCUUUUAGAAGCAGAUCAAGAAACUGGCGAUUGAAGAGUAACUGAAAGAAACGCAAUCUGAUCUUACUAGCAGUGAAAGAGCGAGUCUCCCUCUGAUGCCGAGCAGAAGCUAGACUGUACUGCUGCCAUCUCAGCUCACUGCAACCUCCCUGCCUGAUUCUCCUGCCUCAGCCUGCUGAGUGCCUGCAAUUGCAGGCGCGCCGCCACGCCUGACUGGUUUUCGUAUUUUUUUGGUGGAGACGGGGAUUCGCUGUGUUGGCCGGGCUGGUCUCCAGCUCCUAACCGCGAGUGAUCCACCAGCCUCGGCCUCCUGAGGUGCCGGGAUUGCAGACGGAGUCUGGUUCACUCAGUGCUCAAUGGCGCCCAGACUGGAGUGCAGUGGCGUGAUCUCAGCUCGCUACAACCUCCACCUCCCAGCCGCCUCCCUUGGCCUCCCAAAGUGCAGAGAUUGCAGCCUCUGCCCGGCCGCCACCCCGCCUGGGAAGUGAGGAGCGUCUCUGCCUGGCCGCCCAUUGUCUGGGAUGUGAGGAGCCCCUCUGCCUGGCUGCCCAGUCUGGAAAGUGAGGAGUGUCUCUGCCUGGCCGCCAUCCCAUCUAGGAAGUGAGGAGCGCCUCUUCCCGGCCGCCAUCCCAUCUAGGAAGUGAGGAGCCUCUCUGCCCAGCCGCCCAUCGUCUGAGAUGUGGGGAGCGCCUCUGCCCCGCCGCCCCGUCUGGGAUGUGAGGAGCGCCUCUACCCCGCCGCGACCCCGUCUGGGAGGUGAGGAGCGUCUCUGCCCGGCGGCCCCGUCUGGGAAGUGAGGAGACCCUCCGCCCGGCAGCCGCCCCAUCUGAGAAGUGAGGAGCCCCUCUGCCCAGCAGCCACCCUGUCUGGGAAGUGAGGAGCGUCUCUGCCCAGCAGCCACCCCGUCUGGGAGGGAGGUGGGGGGUCAGCCCCCCGCCCGGCCAGCCGCCCCGUCCGGGAGGUGAGGGGCGCCUCUGCCCGGCGGCCCCUACUGGGAAGUGAGGAGCCCCUCUGCCCGGCCAGCCGCCCCGUCUGGGAAGUGAGGAGCGUCUCCGCCCAGCAGCCACCCCGUCCGGGAGGGAGGUGGGGGGAUCAGCCCCCCGCCCGGCCAGCCGCCCAGUCCGGGAGGGAGGUGGGGGGGUCAGCCCCCCGCCCGGCCAGCCGCCCCGUCCGGGAGGUGAGGGGUGCCUCUGCCCGGCCGCCCCUACUGGGAAGUGAGGAGCCCCUCUGCCCGGCCAGCCGCCCGGUCCGGGAGGGAGGUGGGGGGGUCAGCCCCCUGCCUGGCAAGCCGCCCCGUCUGGGAGGGAGGUGGGGGGAUCAGCCCCCCGCCGGGCCAGCCACCCCGUCCGGGAGGUGAGGGGUGCCUCUGCCCGGCCGCCCCUACUGGGAAGUGAGGAGCCCCUCUGCCCGGCCAGCCGCCCCAUCCGGGAGUGAGGUGGGGGGGUCAGCCCCCUGCCCGGCCAGCCGCCCCGUCCGGGAGGUGAGGGGCGCCUCUGCCCGGCCGCCCCUACUGGGAAGUGAGGAGCCCCUCUGCCCGGCCACCACCCCGUCUGGGAGGUGUACCCAACAGCUCAUUGAGAACGGGCCAUGAUGACAAUGGCGGUUUUGUGGAAUAGAAAGCGGGGAAAGGUGGGGAAAAGAUUGAGAAAUCGGAUGGUUGCCGUGUCUGUGUAGAAAGAGGUAGACAUGGGAGACUUUUCAUUUUGUUCUGUACUAAGAAAAAUUCUUAUCCUGUUGAUCUGUGACCUUACCCCCAACCCCGUGCUCUCUGAAACAUGUGCUGUGUCCACUCAGGGCUAAAUGGAUUAAGGGCGGUGCAAGAUGUGCUUUGUUAAACAGAUGCUUGAAGGCAGCAUGCUCGUUGAGAGUCAUCACCACUCCCUAAUCUCAAGUAACCAGGGACACAAACACUGUGGAAGGCCGCAGGGUCCUCUGCCUAGGAAAACCAGAGACCUUUGUUCACUUGUUUAUCUGCUGACCUUCCCUCCACUAUUGUCCUAUGACCCUGCCAAAUCCCCCUCUGCGAGAAACACCCAAGAAUGAUCAAUAAAAAAAUAAAAUAAAAUAAAAUAAAAUAAAAUAAAUAAAGUUUCAUGCGCAUCCGUGUGAAGAGACCACCAAACAGGCUUUGUGUGAGCAGCAUGGCUGUUUAUUUCACCUGGGUGCAGGCGGGCUGAGUCCGAAAAGAGAGUCAGCCAAGGG